Canis lupus familiaris (dog) is the source of this 1175-nucleotide long non-coding RNA. RefSeq lists it as uncharacterized. The transcript has 3 exons. The record is from RefSeq and is a predicted model, not a curated record. Lineage: Eukaryota; Metazoa; Chordata; Mammalia; Carnivora; Canidae.
AGUCAGUGGAAUUAUAAUAGCAUUGCAGAGUGACAGAUGGUAGCCACACUUGUGGUGGGCACGGAAUAAGAUCCUGUAUACACAGUUGGACUCUGCAGAUACCAGGUGGACAAAGUUGAUUCCUUUGUAGCUUCUUGAGCAAAACAGCCACAUCAUGGCAAAUUGAGAUGACCAGAUUGUCCCCAGUGCAUGUAUAUCUAAAAGCAACUAAACAGAGAGUGAAACAGAGAUGAAGAGGUCCUACAGAUCUUUGCUAUGCUACGUGGGAUCAGCAGAACUGGCAUGACCUGGGAGCCUAUAAGCAGUGUGGAAUCUCAGACUGCACUUCAGAUUUACAGGAUUAGAAUCUGCAUUUUAACAAUACUGCAGGGGACUGAUAUGCACUUUGGGGUUCAAAAAGUGGCUGCUAUAGAGAACCUUUGAAAGGAAGACCCGAGGAAGAGGCGAUUGGAAUAAAGGGACUCCCAUGGAAUACCUUUGUGAAUCUGACUCACAAGACCCCUUCUUCUGUGUACAGCUUUAUUUUUUCCUCAGGCACUGGCACAACUGCUUCCUACACCCUUAUUAACCCUUAACACCAAGGAUUGAAAGUAAUGUCUUGAAAUGUAUUCUCCCCAGAACUGAGAUCUAUGCUUUGAGUUUAUUCUUCCUGCAGUUUCUCUACUUAGGUUUUUUUAAAUAUUUCACAGCAUCUCUACUACAAUUAGACCUGAAAACAAAGAAAUAAACCCUAUUGGUGAUUUCUGCCAAUAUCUGGCAAUACCGUGGAAGAGAUGUUUUGAUUAGGCAAUUUUCAUUACUAAAAACACUAUAGCACAAUAAAUUAAUUCAAUGUUGUGCACUUAUCUAUUAGAAACAUUACUAUAGGAGUAUAAAAAUGUUAAUUAUUCAUUAUCAUUGCUCUGAUUAUUUGUUGUGGCUGAUAAUUACAUUGAAUAUAUUUUAUAUCAGUAAUAACCUUCUGUCUACAUUUACAACAUGUCGUAUCUUGGGGGCUUGUCAAGUUUUUUCCCCAAGCCUUUCCUUUAUUAAGACACAGACCUCAGGAGUACAUAACCUUUAUGUUGAAGGCUGAUUUUCUUCUUUCAUAUAAAGAGCAAAUAUUAUAGAUUAAUUAAUCCAGGAUGAUUAUAAUUUAAUCACUCUUCCUCUGGCUUCACAAGGGAUUCGGCUUU